This 200-nucleotide non-coding RNA is filed under the name Lutibacter agarilyticus. The record is from RNAcentral. Lineage: Bacteria; Pseudomonadati; Bacteroidota; Flavobacteriia; Flavobacteriales; Flavobacteriaceae.
UAGAUUUGACUAGAAUUAGGUUCUUUAUUAAAUUUCAAUUUAAAAUAGAUUAAAAGGGAAUUAAGUGUAAAUCUUAAACUGUUCCCGCAGCUGUAAACUCAGUAGUUGUUUUACAAUCUUUUGCCACUAUCAAUAGUUAUUGGAUGGGAAGGCGUAAAACAGAAGUAAGUCAGAAGACCUGCCUUUUUCAAAAUAACAUA